RNAcentral lists this ribosomal RNA (2304 nucleotides) under Triticum aestivum (bread wheat). RNAcentral describes it as "partial small subunit ribosomal RNA". The record is from RNAcentral. Lineage: Eukaryota; Viridiplantae; Streptophyta; Magnoliopsida; Poales; Poaceae.
GACGCUCCUGGGGGUCUAGGGUAGUAAAGCGGGGGAGGGCAGUUCGCCGCCGAGCGUGGCUUCGCGGACUGAACGGCACGGCAGGUUGGGUACCGUCGGCGGAGGCGGAGGCGGCCUUUGCGCCCGCUCGGCGCCGAGCAGCUGGCGACGUAGCUGCGUCGCCGCGCCACGGCUCGUAGGCACCUCCGGACCGCGGCGGUUGCGGCCAGGGAGCUCGCGGACGGGCCCGUCGACCGGCUGCGCGAGGAGUCGGCGGAGCGGCGAGCGGCGGAGGAAAGGGGGAGGGAGGAGCUCCAAAAGGUCGUGAGCCACGUCCUCUAGCUGAAGUCGCCGUUGUAGCGGCAUCUACGCCUCACCGACCGAAUGGAGCCGAGGAAGGCAAUGGACCCGUAGGAGUUCGACCGCCUGACGUUCUUCCAGCUGGUGAGGCGCUAGACCCGUGACAGGCCGUACUCAUACGAUUUUCUUAACCUGGACAGCUCUACGAGAUCCUAUUGACUACGGCCGUAGUUUGUAUAUCAGAGGUAACUAUCAGACCUCUUCGAUGUGAAUAGACUCUGACCUAACUGACUGUUACCUCACUACGAGUAAAGUCGUGAUUUUCCAAAUUUAAACGAUCUAAACCCUCCUUAAGUAUACUGGCUGUUUCGCAACGCCAGUAAUGUCCAUAACUGUGUUGAACUCGUGGAACUAUAUACCCCAUCACUUUAAUGACUACUCCCUCGAAGUUAGGAAUUCCGCAAAUGUUCUAACUCCAAGAAUUUACAAAGAACCUGUGUACACUGAGCAGAUGGUGGAGAAGGUUUGUACUUUAUAGAAUUAUACUCGUUGACAUGUUAAAUAAGGUAAGCACCGCCACUAAGACUUCAAGUAUAAGGAGACGUUUUCAAAUGCCGGAGACGUCGGAGUUAACAACUGCAACUACUUCACAAGAGAUCGUAGCAUCGUUCGAGUAAAAGUAAGAACCUAUACAGACCAACAAGAAAUUCGUUGAAUAUACCGGACGUUUUCUACUUUUCAGAUCUCGUAAACCUGGAAUCGAACUCGUCUCAUUGACUGCUACGUUAGCUCAUACAACGUUUAUAACCUUACUUCGACUCUAUAGAUUCGGAGUUCUUAUGACCUUAUUGGAGAGUCCGUGGUACAUAAAACCGUCCUUGUCAAGGUUUGGACCGAAGUGACAGAAAUCGAAUAUGUUUUCAACUACUAAGACGAGAUCAUAUAUAGUCGUACUACGGAAGUAACUCUCACUAUCUAGAUUCAGUAUGUUCAUAGUUUCCCAAGUGAACACAACUUCGUUUGAGUCUCUUUUAUGACAGAGACGGAGAUGAACUCGUAGAGUAUAUAGAACUUUCAGAUUUAGACCUCCUACGUGGUGACAGUCUACUUCAAUAUGGAGGGUACCGUAGGAAAUCUCGUGAUUUUAUAAACAUGGACUUUUCACUAAAGAACAGACUAGGGCGUAACGUACGGGACAGAAGACGGAGUUUAAACUAUGUAGAACCUAAAACACCCUCACAUAAUAGUUUGAGACCCGAAGACGUUAAACACGGGGGACGGGUUGAUGUACACAACCUAAAUUCACCGACGACCCAGAAUUGUCUCAUACGGUAGAGUAGUAAAGCAUCGGUAGUGGGCUACUAUCUCAACUCUGUACUUGAUUAAGUCCUUGAAGUUGGUUCGGUGUAGCCAUGAAGUGUUCAAGCGUUCAGAUCCGUAGAAGGUGCCCGUUUUUGUUUUCAAAAAUUAUCGAGCCGACUAAGAUCGUCCGUAAGACCAUAGAAGAAGUACCUAGUUUCCUAUUUUAUGUCGUCCCUCUUUUACGACCUCUAGGUUCUAGAAUGGGUUAGCUUAAGUCACAAUGUACUACACGUCGAAGGUGGUCUCGACGCUGCCUACCUUACUCUGUUCAAGACUACACUGGUACCCAAGUUUACCAACUACGAAGGACUACAUCCUACUAAAAACAGAAUUUCAUAAACGGUAAACUAGUACUAGUCAGAAUAAUGGGUACUCGUUAUGUACCAUUUGCUUCCUCUCAGGUACUCGAUGCCUGAAGGCCUUCAACGCUUUGUUCGACGACCACUUUAGCUUAACAAGUAUAUUGAUAUGUGUCGAUAUUGACAUGCUAUUUGAUUGACAUGUCUUUGUUAAGGGUAUUUUUUUGAUAUGUCUUUGUUAAUAUCUUUAAACGUUUGUGUGCCUCUAAGAAUUUCUAGGAACAACCAAAACAACCCACUACAUGACAUUAGUUUGGUUACGGUGUCGUUAGAAGAGCGACACGACUUCGUCUGUGAGGAACUC